Molecule: RNA transcript, 2168 nt
Organism: Gossypium raimondii (Peruvian cotton)
Lineage: Eukaryota; Viridiplantae; Streptophyta; Magnoliopsida; Malvales; Malvaceae
Gene name: guanylate kinase 3, chloroplastic
Exons: 3
Source: RefSeq, a predicted model, not a curated record
UUUAAGUUGAUUGGCUAUUAGAGCCUUAUUUUGUUGUGGUCAGAGCUUUAGCUCUAGUUUAUCAUACCAAACUUGUUACAAAUUUGUCUGACUUCAAAUUAAGUACAACCAAUAAAAUUCAAAUUAUUUCUAACCAACUUACCUUCAAACUAUCCCAAGUUCUGAACACAUCCAAUCCACCUCGUCCAGUCGUCCUUGAAAACGCCAGACACACGAAACUCAAUCCAAGCCUUAGAAUGCCCAAAUUGUUUCAAAAUGCCCAAUACCAACAAUAAAAACUUCUUUGGAUUCUGAUUUUUCUCAUCACCUUCUUGGAUCCAAGUCUUAACUAAACCCCUCCAAAAUCCCUCAUGUUUCGUAGAUUCUGCACCUCUCUCUUUCACGCCAAACAGCUCCCCUUCGCCUUCCCCCUAAAACCCACUUUUUCAACACCCCGAACUCUUCCCAAAGGACUCUUUUUCACUUCCGCCAUCAAAAUGGCUGAUACCCAGAAGUUCCGUUCUUUUCCCUCCCUUGAAAAAGCCUCAAAACCAGAGUUACUUCGUGCUUUGGAGUCUUCUUUAGGAAUAUCUUUCAGCUCUGACUCUAUUUGCCCCUCCCCAAAUCCUUUAAUCAUUGUUAUAAGUGGUCCGAGUGGGGUGGGCAAAGAUGCAGUCAUCAAAAGAUUGAGAGAAGUUAGGGAGAAUCUUCAUUUUGUUGUUACUGCUACAAGCAGAGGAAUGAGACCUGGUGAAGUUAAUGGUAAGGAUUACUUUUUUGUGUCAAAGGAUGAGUUUUUAUCAAUGGUUGAAAAAGAUGAGCUUUUGGAGUAUGCUUUAGUUUAUGGGGAUUAUAAAGGAAUACCCAAGAAGCAAAUAAGGGAUUUUAUGGCAAAAGGGUGUGAUAUUGUGUUGAGAGUGGACAUUCAAGGAGCUGAAACAUUAAGGAAGGCUCUUGGGGAUUCUGGGGUGUUCAUUUUUCUGGUGGCUGAGAGUGAGCUUGCUCUUGUUGAGAGGCUGAUCGACAGGAAGACUGAGAGUGAGGAGGAAUUGCUUGUUAGGAUUGCUACUGCUAGAGAAGAGGUGAAGCGUGUUAAGAGAUUUGAUUAUGUUGUUGUUAAUGCUAAAGGGAAGCUUGAGGAGGCUGUAGAUUUGGUGGGGUCUAUCAUUGAUGCUGAGAAGGCUAAGGUUAGGCAAAGGGAGCCAAUGAUUUGAGGUUUUUCUUGUGAAGGGUUCUCGGUUUGGUAUUUUUGAGUUGAGUGUUACGGCACCGUUUUGAACUUAGCCCUUUCCUCGUCACCUGACAAGAAUGCUGAAUGACACAAUUGAACACAGUCCACAGCCUGAUUUCCCUUUUCCUGAUUGUGCUGUUAGAUGGUUUUCCUAAACAUUACCAGUGGAAACAAGAAAUUGGGUUCGAUAAUUCUAAUUGAAGUGGUAAAGGGAUUUAUAAGUGAACCACAAGACGUUACUUAUAAAAAGAAAAAUUAAAAUUAGUUUUUUUUCUUAUUUUCAAGAUUUAUAUUAAUGUACUGUUACACUAACAAUGAAUUAUGUGAUACCAUUUUUCAAAAAUUUUAAUUAACUGUUAAACUAUCAAUAUAUAAGUUUAUAUAUUAUAAUGUAUCAAAUACAAAUGUUGUGUUAUUUACGGACAGUUAGUGGACCAAACACGAAUUGAUAUGCAAAAUAGAAGAAACACACGAUAAAAUAAAAUCUAGCCAACAACUUCCCUGGAAAUAUGACGGAAAGACAAUAGAGAAAGUACCAUAUUUGAGCCGCAGAGAAGUUAUGAGAAUAGAGAAAGCAAUGCAGAGUAUGUCUCUUCAACAAUGGUGGUUGGAGAACCAGAAAAUAAACUGACACUCUUUGCUCCCGUGCUUUCAAUCAUUGAGAAAGUCAACAGUAGUUCCAUUUCUAAUGCUGGAGAAAUAACAGCAGUGAGUUAGAUGAUAAAUCACAAGUUGGAAGAUGGAAUCAUACAACUCAGACAUGGAUAAACAAUAUCCUUUAAAGCCUUGUUAUAUAGAUUUUUUUCAUGUUUAUAUUUUCACAUUAUGUUCGUGUUAUUUGUCCGUAUUGUGUCGUGUAGCCGUAUUGCUCUAUCUCUAGAGUGCACAUGUGGUUACUAGCUUGUUUUAUAGACUAAGUGAACUUUUAAGUGUUUAUGCUAAAAUUUUCACUUGUUAA